Molecule: transfer RNA, 72 nt
Filed under: Eleutherodactylus leberi
Lineage: Eukaryota; Metazoa; Chordata; Amphibia; Anura; Eleutherodactylidae
Description: tRNA-Val
Source: RNAcentral
AAAAAAAUAGCUUAACCAAAGCAACUUGCUUACACCAAGAAGAUGUCCUUAACAGGACUAUUUUGAACUUAG